CACACUAGGCGAACAAUUAAACGACCCAAUUUUGUGAAAAAGCUCAACAGCUUUAUCAACUAACUGGGCUCUCCCAUAGUGUUGAAUUAACCCAAUAAAAAGUGUUUCUCUACAUCGAAUAUGAUGAGUUUGGAGAUAUCCAAGAAGGGUUUCAACAACUUCAAAAUUUCGAGACUUUGCGAGCUUAUAAACAAGACAAGAAUAAGUUGG
Molecule: unclassified non-coding RNA, 210 nt
Filed under: Hevea brasiliensis (rubber tree)
Lineage: Eukaryota; Viridiplantae; Streptophyta; Magnoliopsida; Malpighiales; Euphorbiaceae
Source: RNAcentral